RNAcentral lists this ribosomal RNA (449 nucleotides) under uncultured bacterium. Its description in RNAcentral is "partial 16S ribosomal RNA". It matches the Rfam family "Bacterial small subunit ribosomal RNA", at positions 29 to 523 of the family's 1533-position model. The record is from RNAcentral.
AGCGAACGCUGGCGGCAGGCCUAACACAUGCAAGUCGAACGGACCCUUCGGGGUUAGUGGCGGACGGGUGAGUAACACGUGGGAACGUGCCUUUAGGUUCGGAGUAGCUCCUGGAAACGGGUGGUAAUGCCGAAUGUGCCCUUCGGGGGAAAGAUUUAUCGCCUUUAGAGCGGCCCGCGUCUGAUUAGCUAGUUGGUGAGGUAAUGGCUCACCAAGGCGACGAUCAGUAGCUGGUCUGAGUGGAGGACCAGCCACACUGGGACUGAGACACGGCCCAGACUCCUACGGGAGGCAGCAGUGGGGAAUCUUGCGCAAUGGGCGAAAGCCUGACGCAGCCAUGCCGCGUGAAUGAUGAAGGUCUUAGGAUUGUAAAAUUCUUUCACCGGGGACGAUAAUGACGGUACCCGGAGAAGAAGCCCCGGCUAACUUCGUGCCAGCAGCCGCCGCGG